RNAcentral lists this ribosomal RNA (483 nucleotides) under uncultured bacterium. RNAcentral's name for it is "partial 16S ribosomal RNA". It matches the Rfam family "Bacterial small subunit ribosomal RNA", at positions 28 to 507 of the family's 1533-position model. The record is from RNAcentral.
GAUGAACGCUAGCGGCAGGCCUAAUACAUGCAAGCCGAACGGCAAGUUUGAUAGCAAUAUUGGACCUAGAGUGGCGCAAGGGUGCGUAACACGUAUGCAACCUGCCCGCGACAGGAGGAUAGCUCCCCGAAAGGGGAAUUAACCCUCCAUAACACCUUGAGAAGCCAUCUGUUCAUGGUUAAACGGCAGGGGUUCGGGGAUGUGCAUGCGGUUCAUUAGCUAGUUGGCGGGUUAAAGGCCGACCAAGUCGGGAAUCAAUAGGGGUACUGCGAGGGGGGUCCCCGAAACUGGGACUGAGACACGGGCCAGACGCGAACGGGCGGCAGCAGUAGGGAAUAGUGGACAAUGGUUGUAAGACUGAUCCAGCCAUGCCGCGUGGAGGAAGAAGGGCUUCUGAGACGUAAACUGCUUUUUACAGUGGAUAAAAUAGCAGUGAGCGGGGAAUUGAAGGUAACAGGGGAAUAAGCCACGGCUAACUACGUG